GACGGGUGAGUAACGCGUGAGUAACCUGCCUUUCAGAGGGGGAUAACGUUCUGAAAAGAACGCUAAUACCGCAUGACAUAUCGGAACCACAUGGUUUUGAUAUCAAAGAUUUUAUCGCUUGAAGAUGGACUCGCGUCCGAUUAGUUAGUUGGUGAGGUAACGGCUCACCAAGACCGCGAUCGGUAGCCGGACUGAGAGGUUGAACGGCCACAUUGGGACUGAGACACGGCCCAGACUCCUACGGGAGGCAGCAUG
This 255-nucleotide ribosomal RNA is filed under the name uncultured bacterium. RNAcentral describes it as "partial 16S ribosomal RNA". It matches the Rfam family "Bacterial small subunit ribosomal RNA", at positions 100 to 353 of the family's 1533-position model. The record is from RNAcentral.